This 497-nucleotide ribosomal RNA is filed under the name uncultured bacterium. RNAcentral describes it as "partial 16S ribosomal RNA". It matches the Rfam family "Bacterial small subunit ribosomal RNA", at positions 28 to 507 of the family's 1533-position model. The record is from RNAcentral.
GAUGAACGCUGGCGGCGUGCCUAAUACAUGCAAGUCGAGCGAACGGACGAGAAGCUUGCUUCUCUGAUGUUAGCGGCGGACGGGUGAGUAACACGUGGAUAACCUACCUAUAAGACUGGGAUAACUUCGGGAAACCGUAGCUAAUACCGGAUAAUAUUUUGAACCGCAUGGUUCAAAAGUGAAAGACGGUCUUGCUGUCACUUAUAGAUGGAUCCGCGCUGCAUUAGCUAGUUGGUGAGGUACAGGCUUACCAAGGCAACGAUGCAUAGCCGACCUGCGAGGGUGAUUGGCCACACUGGAACUGAGACACGGUCCAGACUCCUACGGGAGGCAGCAGUAGGGAAUCUGGCGCAAUGGGCGGAAGCCUGACGGAGCAACGCCGCGUGAGUGAGGAAGGUCUUCGGAUCGUAAAACUCUGUUAUUAGGGAGGAACAUAUGUGUAAGUAACUGUGCACAUCUUGACGGUACCUAAGCAGAAAGCCACGGCUAACUACGUG